UUGCUUUGGCAGCACAUAUACUAAAAUUGGAAAGCUACAGACAAAAUUAGUAUGCCCUGGCACAAAGACGACAUGCAAAUUUAUGAAGCAUUCCAUAUUUUU
Small nuclear RNA from Gracilinanus agilis (Agile Gracile Mouse Opossum), 102 nucleotides. Lineage: Eukaryota; Metazoa; Chordata; Mammalia; Didelphimorphia; Didelphidae. The record is from RefSeq and is a predicted model, not a curated record.